Molecule: ribosomal RNA, 973 nt
Filed under: Peritrichia sp. cLPN3
Lineage: Eukaryota; Ciliophora; Oligohymenophorea
Description: SSU rRNA
Rfam family: Eukaryotic small subunit ribosomal RNA
Source: RNAcentral
CCAAUUCCGCAAGGAAUGUGAUGAAUCAUAGUAAUCGAACGAAUCGCAGGUAUAUGCGAUAAGUCAUUCAAGUUUCUGCCCUAUCAGCUUUGGAUGGUAGUGUAUUGGACUACCAUGGCAGUCACGGGUAACGGAGAAUUAGGGUUCGAUUCCGGAGAGGGAGCCUGAGAAACGGCUACCACAUCUACGGAAGGCAGCAGGCGCGAAAAUUGCCCAAUCCUGACACGGGGAGGCAGUGACAAGAAAUAACAACUCUAGGUUUUCUUAGAAGUGUAAUGAGGAUAAUUUACAAACCUUACCAAAUGCAAUUGGAGGGCAAGUCUGGUGCCAGCAGCCGCGGUAAUUCCAGCUCCAAUAGCGUAUAUUAAAGUUGUUGCAGUUAAAAAGCUCGUAGUUGAAAUUCUGAUUGUUCGGGUUUUUAGCCUUUAGGCGGAAAUACCGACAGUCAUCCGCUUGCAAACAUACGUUUGACCUUAACCAGUUGACUAUGUGAGUAAGCAUUUUACCUUGAGAAAAACAGAGUGUUCCAGGCAGGUUUGUCCGGAAUGCAUUAGCAUGGAAUAAUAGAACAUGACUGAAGUCUAUUUAUUGGUUAAAGGCUUUAGUAAUGAUUAAUAGGAACAGUCGGGGGCAUUCGUACUCAGCAGUCAGAGGUGAAAUUCUAAGAUUUGCUGAAGACGAACUAAUGCGAAAGCAUUUGCCAAGGAUGUUUUCAUUAAUCAAGAACGAAAGUUAGGGGAUCAAAGACGAUCAGAUACCGUCCUAGUCUUAACUAUAAACGAUACCGACUCGGAUUCAGAUGAAUCAAAAUGUUCAUUUGGGACCGUAGGAGAAAUCAAAGUCUUUGGGUUCUGGGGGGAGUAUGGUCGCAAGGCUGAAACUUAAAGGAAUUGACGGUUUUGCACCACCAUGGAGUGGAGUUUGCGGCUUAAUUUGACUCAACACUGGGAAACUCAUCAGGGCAAGAAGAUUU